RNAcentral lists this ribosomal RNA (510 nucleotides) under uncultured bacterium. RNAcentral's name for it is "bacterial SSU rRNA". It matches the Rfam family "Bacterial small subunit ribosomal RNA", at positions 15 to 518 of the family's 1533-position model. The record is from RNAcentral.
GAUUCUGGCUCAGGAUGAACGCUGGCGGCGUGCCUAACACAUGCAAGUCGAACGAAGCAUGAUUGAAGGAGACUUCGGUCAAUGGAUAUCAUGACUUAGUGGCGGACGGGUGAGUAAUACAUGAGCAACCUGCCUUUCAGAGGGGGACAACAGCUGGAAACGGCUGCUAAUACCGCAUAACGUGCGAGAGGGCAUCCCUUUUGUACCAAAGGAGCAAUCCGCUGAAAAGAUGGGCUCAUGACUGAUUAGUUAGUUGGCAGGGCAACGGCCUACCAAGACUGCGAUCAGUAGCCGGACUGAGAGGUUGAACGGCCACAUUGGGACUGAGAUACGGCCCAGACUCCUACGGGAGGCAGCAGGUGGGGAAUAUUGGGCAAUGGGCGAAAAACGCCUGACCCAGCAACGCCGCGUGAAGGAAGAAGGUCUUCGGAUUGUAAACUUCUUUAUGAGGACGAAGGACGUGACGGUACCUCAUGAAUAAGCCACGGCUAACUACGUGCCAGCCGCCGC